AUCUAGCUGAUGAGUCCCAAAUAGGACGAAAUGCGCAUCCUGGAU
Molecule: non-coding RNA, 45 nt
Filed under: Trichobilharzia regenti
Lineage: Eukaryota; Metazoa; Platyhelminthes; Trematoda; Strigeidida; Schistosomatidae
Source: RNAcentral